GACGAACGCUGGCGGCGUGCUUAACACAUGCAAGUCGAACGGAAAGGCCCUGCUUGCAGGGUACUCGAGUGGCGAACGGGUGAGUAACACGUGGGUGAUCUGCCCUGCACUUCGGGAUAAGCCUGGGAAACUGGGUCUAAUACCGGAUAGGAGCCAUUUUUAGUGUGAUGGUUGGAAAGUUUUUUCGGUUUUGGAUGAGCUCGCGGCCUAUCAGCUUGUUUGUGGGGUAAUUGCCUACCAAGGCGGCGACGGGUAGCCGGCCUGAGAGGGUGGACGGCCACAUUGGGACUGAGAUACGGCCCAGACUCCUACGGGAGGCAGCAGUGGGGAAUAGUGCACAAGGGGCGCAAGCAUGAUGCAGCGACGCCGCGUGGGGGAUGACGGCCUUCGGGUUGUAAACUCCUUUCGCUAGGGACGAAGCUGUUGUGACGGUACCUAGAUAAGAAGCACCGGCUAACUACGUG
RNAcentral lists this ribosomal RNA (464 nucleotides) under uncultured bacterium. RNAcentral's name for it is "partial 16S ribosomal RNA". It matches the Rfam family "Bacterial small subunit ribosomal RNA", at positions 28 to 507 of the family's 1533-position model. The record is from RNAcentral.